CUUAUGCGUUGUUGGGUAGGGGAGCGUUCUGUAAGCCUGUGAAGGUGGCCUGUGAGGGUUGCUGGAGGUAUCAGAAGUGCGAAUGCUGACAUAAGUAACGAUAAAGCGGGUGAAAAGCCCGCUCGCCGGAAGACCAAGGGUUCCUGUCCAACGUUAAUCGGGGCAGGGUGAGUCGACCCCUAAGGCGAGGCCGAAAGGCGUAGUCGAUGGGAAACGGGUUAAUAUUCCCGUACUUGGUGUUACUGCGAAGGGGGGACGGAGAAGGCUAUGUUGGCCGGGCGACGGUUGUCCCGGUUUAAGCGUGUAGGUGUGUGUUCCAGGUAAAUCCGGUUCACUUUAACACUGAGGCGUGACGACGAGGCACUACGGUGCUGAAGCAACAAAUGCCCUGCUUCCAGGAAAAGCCUCUAAGCAUCAGGUAACAUCAAAUCGUACCCCAAACCGACACAGGUGGUCAGGUAGAGAAUACCAAGGCGCUUGAGAGAACUCGGGUGAAGGAACUAGGCAAAAUGGUGCCGUAACUUCGGGAGAAGGCACGCUGACACGUAGGUGAAGUGAUUUACUCACGGAGCUGAAGUCAGUCGAAGAUACCAGCUGGCUGCAACUGUUUAUUAAAAACACAGCACUGUGCAAACACGAAAGUGGACGUAUACGGUGUGACGCCUGCCCGGUGCCGGAAGGUUAAUUGAUGGGGUCAGCGCAAGCGAAGCUCCUGAUCGAAGCCCCGGUAAACGGCGGCCGUAACUAUAACGGUCCUAAGGUAGCGAAAUUCCUUGUCGGGUAAGUUCCGACCUGCACGAAUGGCGUAAUGAUGGCCAGGCUGUCUCCACCCGAGACUCAGUGAAAUUGAACUCGCUGUGAAGAUGCAGUGUACCCGCGGCAAGACGGAAAGACCCCGUGAACCUUUACUAUAGCUUGACACUGAACAUUGAGCCUUGAUGUGUAGGAUAGGUGGGAGGCUUUGAAGCGUGGACGCCAGUCUGCGUGGAGCCGACCUUGAAAUACCACCCUUUAAUGUUUGAUGUUCUAACGUGGACCCGUGAUCCGGGUUGCGGACAGUGUCUGGUGGGUAGUUUGACUGGGGCGGUCUCCUCCUAAAGAGUAACGGAGGAGCACGAAGGUUGGCUAAUCCUGGUCGGACAUCAGGAGGUUAGUGCAAUGGCAUAAGCCAGCUUGACUGCGAGCGUGACGGCGCGAGCAGGUGCGAAAGCAGGUCAUAGUGAUCCGGUGGUUCUGAAUGGAAGGGCCAUCGCUCAACGGAUAAAAGGUACUCCGGGGAUAACAGGCUGAUACCGCCCAAGAGUUCAUAUCGACGGCGGUGUUUGGCACCUCGAUGUCGGCUCAUCACAUCCUGGGGCUGAAGUAGGUCCCAAGGGUAUGGCUGUUCGCCAUUUAAAGUGGUACGCGAGCUGGGUUUAGAACGUCGUGAGACAGUUCGGUCCCUAUCUGCCGUGGGCGCUGGAGAACUGAGGGGGGCUGCUCCUAGUACGAGAGGACCGGAGUGGACGCAUCACUGGUGUUCGGGUUGUCAUGCCAAUGGCACUGCCCGGUAGCUAAAUGCGGAAGAGAUAAGUGCUGAAAGCAUCUAAGCACGAAACUUGCCCCGAG
RNAcentral lists this ribosomal RNA (1608 nucleotides) under Salmonella enterica. RNAcentral's name for it is "partial 23S ribosomal RNA". It matches the Rfam family "Bacterial large subunit ribosomal RNA", at positions 1213 to 2803 of the family's 2925-position model. The record is from RNAcentral. Lineage: Bacteria; Pseudomonadati; Pseudomonadota; Gammaproteobacteria; Enterobacterales; Enterobacteriaceae.